UGAGCAAUCUGCCCUUCACAUCGGAAUAACCAUUGGAAACGAUGGCUAAUACCGAAUAUGACUUCGGAUCGCAUGAUCUGAAGUGGAAAGCUCGGCGGUGAAGGAUGAGCUCGCGGCCUAUCAGCUUGUUGGUGUGGGUAAUGGCCCACAAGGCGACGACGGGUAGCCGGCCUGAGAGGGUGACCGGCCACACGUGGGACUGAGACACGGCCCAGAUCCGUACGGG
This 226-nucleotide ribosomal RNA is filed under the name uncultured bacterium. RNAcentral describes it as "partial 16S ribosomal RNA". It matches the Rfam family "Bacterial small subunit ribosomal RNA", at positions 118 to 345 of the family's 1533-position model. The record is from RNAcentral.